RNAcentral lists this microRNA precursor (107 nucleotides) under Marmota monax (woodchuck). Lineage: Eukaryota; Metazoa; Chordata; Mammalia; Rodentia; Sciuridae. The record is from RNAcentral.
AGUGGGAUAACUGGGUCAAGUGGUGGUUCCAUUUCAAGUUUUUUGAGGAAUAUCCAUACUACUUUUAAGAGUGUUUCAGAGCACCAGAUUGCAGUCCCACCAGCAAU